This is an RNA transcript of Cygnus atratus (black swan), 11583 nucleotides long. It is a transcript of the gene named death inducer-obliterator 1, with no coding region annotated. The record is from RefSeq and is a predicted model, not a curated record. NCBI's taxonomy places the organism in Eukaryota, Metazoa, Chordata, Aves, Anseriformes, Anatidae. The transcript is spliced from 8 exons.
GGGAGGAGCGGCCCCCGCCCAGCGCUCCGGAGCGGUUGCGAGGAGGAAAUGGCGGCGCGGCGCGGCUGAGCCCCUCGGCGGCGGCGGCGAGACCCCCGUCCCCUCCCCGCGGUGUCAGCAGGAAAAGGACGAUUUUCAGUAUUUGGUCCUGCUGACAGCUCAAAGACUCAGUCUGGCGCGUCUGAAUCAGGAAAUUCAGCAUGUGCUGAAAGGAUAAUGCUGAAUGACUCUGAUCCUUUGCUGCCCUCAUCUGGCUCUCCUUUUCAUUCGUCACAACAGGGAGAAACCAUUCAAACCUCUAAUGCUGUGUCAGCAUUUCAGGGUGGGGAGAGUGGUGUCUGUGCUAUGGAACAAGCUGUAAGUUUACAGCCAGUGUCAUUGGAAUCUGAAUCUAAUACUGAUAACAUGGAAAACAGUUCCCCUGCAUCAGCUUUGGAUGAAAAAGGUGAGCAAAGCAAUGAGGAGGAACAAAAAACUAUCAAACCUACAAGCAAAGAGUUCAGGAAAACCUGGGGUUUUCGAAGGACUACAAUUGCCAAGAGAGAAGGUGCAGGAGAUAUUGAUAUGGACUCUAGUGAACAACAGCCGCAGCAGCAGCAACAAGGCUUAAACCUCAGGCGUAGUGGACGACAACCAAAGCGAACAGAAAGAGUGGAAGAAUUUCUUACAACAGUAAGACGCAGAGGAAGGAGGAAUGCUCCUAUUGCUCUGGAAGAUUCAAGUGAACCCGCAUCCUGUCCAGCCACAGAUGCUGAAACCGCUUCAGAAGAUAGCGUCGAGAGUGCUUCAGAUAUAAAACCUGUGACUCGGAGGAGUGGCACUAGGAGUAGUAAGGAUCAAAAAGGCUCUAAAAGCAGGCGCACAAAAGACGAAGAGGAGGAGGAGGAAGAGGAAGAAGAGGAAGAAGAUACUUCUGAUAGCGACAGCGAUGGGUUAACACUAAAGGAACUGCAGAAUCGACUAAGAAACAAACGUGUUGAACAGAAGCCUGCUCAACUGACACUGAAAGAUAUACAGAACCGCCUGAGAAAAAGACCUUCUGAGCAAGAUCCUACAGAAACUGGCGAUGUCCAGCCUGAAAAUCAAGUUAAAGAUGAAUUACCUGUCAAACAGGAGCCUGAGAUUGUAGAUGGCACUGAGGUUGCAAGUCAGGUUACUGUGUCUGAGGAAAACACUGAAGAUCUUCAGGUUCAGAAGGAGGUAAAGCCUACUGUUGGAGUAAAAGGGGUUACAGACGAAGGACUUGAAGAAUUGCCCAAAGGAAAACCAGAAUCUGAGAUUUAUGACCCCAACGCGUUGUAUUGUAUCUGUCGUCAGCCUCAUAACAACAGGUUUAUGAUUUGUUGCGAUAGAUGUGAGGAAUGGUUUCAUGGUGACUGUGUGGGUAUCUCUGAGGCUCGAGGGCGGCUGUUGGAGAGGAAUGGUGAGGACUAUAUCUGUCCAAACUGCACCAUUCUCCAGGUACAGGAUGAGCCUAUUUCAGAAACAGAGCAGCAGGAAGAUAAAGCAAGCCAAAUAAAUGUGGACGGUAUGGAAUUCACAAGCAUAGGAACAGUUGAACAAAAGUCUGUUGAAGACCAAGGGAUCAAGGGUAGGAUUGAAAAAGCUUCAAAUCCAAGUGGGAAGAAAAAACUCAAGAUAUUUCAGCCUGUAAUUGAAACUCCUGGUGCGUCAAAGUGCAUUGGUCCUGGCUGUUUUAAUGUGGCUCAGCCUGAUUCUGUGUACUGCAGCAAUGACUGCAUUCUCAAACAUGCUGCAGCCACCAUGAAGUUUCUCAGUGCGGGCAAAGAUUCAAAAACAAAACCUAAAGAGAAGGUCAAAUCAAAAUCUGAAAAACCCAGCGUGCCAAAAACUCAGCUGCAGACAGGUACUAAACCUCUUUCAAACCAGAAGAGACAAUAUCCUGAGAAAAGAGAGAUGACCAUGAAGAAGGUUUUGACAUCUGCCAAGACUGAGGCAAACACUCAACCUUACGCUAAAGAGCCAGCAGUAGAAAACAGCACACCUUCCUGGGCAAGCGAUCAUAAUUACAAUGCUGUAAAGCCUGAAAAGACUGCUGCCAUUUCAUCUUCACUGUUGUUCAAAUGUAUGUAUCGCAUAGGGAUAUUCCUGAAUAAUCAUUUACAUUUUCUUUGAAUACCCAUCCAUUCUUGGCUCUGCAAGACUAGGGAGUUUAGGAUAUUUUUCUUUUUUUUUUGCUUAAUACGGUACAAAAUGUCUUUUCUCCACCUUCAAAGAUUCACACACAGAUGCACGUAAAUGGGAAACACUUGUUGAAGUUUCAUUUGUAUCAUAUGACAGUUGUAUGAUUAAGAGCCUGUCAGUCUACCCAGCUGAUUUGUGGAUGCAAACUUCAUGAUUAAGCUUUAAAUUUUUCCCAUAAAGACACUAACUGUGUAUGAUCUGGAAAAGAUUUGGCACCUUUCUCUCAGGUCUUGCAUUUUCAUUGCUAGUGCCGAGAAUGACAUCUCCGACGUGGUAUCCAACAAUACUUUACACUUCUGCAAACAGCUUUUAACUGUCAAGUAUACUCCAGCUCUUCCUGCUGCUUUUCUUCCUUACAUGAAAUAAUUUGAGGACCAUUCUUUAAUUUUAAGUUUGGGGGGAGGCAGUACUUUUUUUUUUCCUUUCUAUUUAUAUGUUCAUACUUCACACAUUAUCCACACACACAAGAACACAUCUUAAGUGGGUAUCAGGCAGAAACAUUGCCUUGCAUAUUUUUGCAGGUUUUGAAUAGCAUCCUUGUAACACACACAAAGGUAAGUAAAUACUGCUUUGUAUCCUGAACAAGUCUUUCUGAUAAUGACGUGUUUUGAUUGACUCCAGCUAAGUAUUUUGUGACGCAGUGAUGGAACUUCAAAUGAAAUCUUACAUUUCACGUUCACAAAACACAUGACCUAGUAUUUUCUCAAAGAUGAAUGAGUUCAGAAUUUCAGAUCUCCCAGCUUUCUUAGCCACACUCGAGCCAAUUUUACUUCUAGAAAUAAACAGAGUUACUAAACACUUUAUAUAUAUAGUAACCGAUAAAUUCAUAGAUUAUACUUAUUAUUAAGAUUAGAUUUUCUAGAUGUUUUUUAAGGUAGGUGAUGAUCCCUCAGUGUUUAUAUUGCUCAAUUUACUAUUCUAGCAUAUACCAGACUUACUAGGCCUGUUUCAAUUUAUUUACCCAAAUGAAAAGUUUAAAGGGUUAUAAAUUCCCUGCAUAGUUUUGUUUUAUUGGUUACUUAAGCCCUAUGCCUCUUUCUAUAGUGAACUGUUAAAACACAUUUUUAUAACUUUGCAUUUUAAACUUUUUCUAAAAAAAAACUGUAGCUUUAUCAUCGGAAACUGUAGCAUUUUAAAUGCAUCUAACUAGUGGGAGAGAGAGAUCUAAAUGAAACUAGAAGGGCUUAUUUUGCAUGUGAAAUUUUUAUCACGCUUUCUAUCUCAAUAUAAUUACAAAUGUCAGUAUAACCAUAUCACUUAAAAUGCUCUCAUUGCUAUAGCUUAUUUUUCUUGGAGACAGGAAUACAGGAUUUGAGGCAAGGACAUUGGGGUUUUUUAUUUUUUUAAGGGGUUCUUAAAUUUUACAACAUGGAAGUUGCACAGAUUUAACCAAUUCCAAUAGAAAGUUGGACUGCCUUAACUAAAUUGUUAAAUUAGUGCAAAAAUCUGUGUGUAUGCUAGACUUCAGUAAUUAAUAGAAAACAACCUAGUUCGUGUGAUGAAGAUCUCUCAUGCCAAAUGCAAGGAAGAACUUCAGAUUGCUGUUAUUAAGGUAAGCUGCACUAAUAUGUGGGGACUCUGUACCACACUACUAAAUUACCAAGUAAAUUGUGUAUGUAUUUGGGUAAAAAGAUUUUCCUGCUUUAUUGAUUGGACAGGUGUGGUCUAUAAUAAUCUUCCUGAGAAGCUGCUAUUGCAUCUUCUUUAAGAGUAUUCUAUAAGUUAUAUUUAGCAAAUUUUUAUUUGCUGUUCAAGACGUAGAAGUUACAGCAUUACGGAAAUCAGGGGGAGUCAUCUCACUUCAAGUAUCUAAAGGCUACAACUCUGAGUUAGUCUUAAGAGAGAAACACCUUCAGUGGGUGAUACAAUUUAUUUUAGAUAGUAACCUUAUAACAGUGCCUCACUGUUUAGAACUGCUUAUUUCUGAGCAUUGAUUAUGUAAGAUACUUAAGCUGUCUAGUUCAGACAUCUUUGGUGUCUAAGCUCACUUGGUGGACGUAAGCUCACUUAGAGGAGGCGAGGUGGCUCUAAGCUCACUUAGAGGUGGGAUUCUUCCAUACACGGUAUUUCUAAAUAUGGACUCCGUCCCCAGAACUUAAAGCUGUCUUCUGCGAAUCCUUAUUUAUGUGACCUCAGUGCAUAUGAGGCCCUUUAGGAGUUAAGUGAACUUAACAUGAUUUGCCGAAUUACUCUGGAAUACUUUUUCCAUUAGUCAGUAUAACAUGUUUCGGGCAUGCAUUUAUUUUAUACAUUUACUGUGUACUUGUCAGAUACAAUAUUGUUCUUUCAUAUGACAGUAGUUUUAAAUUGAAGGAAGAAAGUCACCUCACUCCUAAAAUUGUUCUUGGUGGCGAGGGCAUAUAGCAAGUAUAUUUAAAUAUACACCUGACCACCAAGCCCCCUUUUUUUCCUACCCACUCUGUUUUACAUUCAAAAAAAAAAGGUGUAAGUACUAUGCAGUUAAUAGCAGCACAUUCCUGUGUCAGAGGCUGAUUGCAGUGUCUUCAACAAAAGAAAUACUUGAAAGACAUCUGGAUCCGUAUCCUACCCCACGUCUCCAGGAAACAUGAAUUGUUUUUCUUUCUCUUGAUUUUUAAAAGAAGGCAAAAUACUUAAUAUUUAAGUUGCCCAGUCAAGCCUUAUAGACCACUCUUAGUGUCUAUAAUCUUGCAAAAGAUUGUUAGAGAGGGAAUUGCAUCUCACAUUUCAAAUGUGGUGGGAAUGCAUCUCAAUUUCCAAUCACUUUUUUAUAGUACUAAAAAGCAUUCUGAAAGAUUUAGAAAACUUUUUCUUUCUGGUUAGUUGUAAUUACAGCAGAAGAAAAGGCUUUGGCAAAGCUAUUGAGUGAUUUUGCGAAGCAGAGCACAGUACUGGCAGAUUGGAAAAUGCCAUUGAAGAAUAGUAAGUUUCUCAGCUGCUAUAUACAGAGUGGGAUGCACACAAGGCAUUGGUUUAAAGAAGCAUUGCACACAACUCUUUUCUAAAUUCUGCAUGUAAUUCUGUGUUACAUUUCUGCAGAAAAAAUAACUUUCACUAGCAAUUAAAAAAACUGUUUCUAAUGAAAGGUCUUCACGUGGGUAAGGGAAUGCUUCAAACAUUUGCCUUCUUUUCCCUUGUAAAAGUAACAGUGGUUGGACCACUUGUUGACGGAAAGGUUUGUGUGUGUUUGAAGCACUUGAGUUCAUGUUUUCUGAUUGAGAGAAAAACACUUGGAAGAGACUUUACUACGUUUUUCAGUUUCUAACUGUCAAAUAGAAGGCAGCAACAAAUACAUCACCAGUUUAAGAUAGAAAAUGAAUCUAGAAGGAGAGGAAGAUGAUAGGAGUUUGCAGUAUCACAAUUUUGAAACUAGCCAGUCAUAAGCACCAAGUAUUCAUGUUUGUGCUUUGAAUCUGUUGAAAUUCAGCAGGCUUCUCCUGUUAGACUUAAAUAAUCAGCUGACUUUUAACUCAAGUGUUAAAGCUAUGUAAACAACUAUGUGUAUUUAUUGAUAAAACUAGCUAAGUGCACAGGAGAGUAAGAGGUUUUGUUAGGUAAACACAUCUGAUGUGUAUUUUUCAUGCUGUUCUUGUGGUAGAACUGGCUGAGUAAAAAGCUUUUUGUUUUCACAGACUUCUGUUUACUUAAACAGUUAAAAAAUAUGGGCUUAUAGCAAUCUGUUGUCCUACUUGGUACUAGUAUUUCAUAGCAUUGUUAAUGAGUGGGACUUUAAGGGGAAGCUUUCCAUUAGGAAGAUAAAAGUACAGUAUUUGCAGUGCUCCUCGUUUUACAGCAGUGAAUUAGGGAGAGACAACUUAAUGCUGCCACCUACUGGAAGUGAGGAGGUGAGGUUUGGAGAGCGCUACCUCUGGCGAUACAAUCUUGGCUUUUGUUAUCCCCUUUCAGUUUUCUUCAGUUCUUUUGCAGUUCAGCUUUUCUAUGUCUAAGACCUUUUGAUAAUCUGAAUGAUGUUUUCUUGUAUAAUUAAUGAUCCCACAUUCAAAGGGCACCCGGACUGCUUUGUUCGUGCAAACAAACAAAAACCAUCAAAAUAUGAAGACUUAGGCAGGGCAGUGCAGUCAUACUGGGAGCCCAUAAUCAGAAAAUGUGCGUACAAAAAUGAUAGGAUUAUAGCAUACGUAGUUCAUGUAUUUUUUUCCUUCUGUGAUUUUUAUAAUACAGUACCAAGACAGGAAAGAAAGAAUAUAUGCGACUAUAAAGAGUGCAGGGGGAAAACGUAGUAUACUCAAAAGCAGAGGAACUAUGGCUCAGGAGGUAGAAGCGAUGUAUGAGGCUGUAAAUACAACUGUGGAAAGAAAAAAAAUAAGGCCAUUUCUAUACACAGACUGGUGGCACUUCAAACUUAUCUGAAGAUAAGAAUUAUACUGGCUUAAGUUGUGACUCCUCAGUUUAGUGAGUGCAAGUGGUUAAAUUUGUAUUGGUUCAGCUUAACUAUUACGAAAGCGUUGUGCUUAAACUGAGGAGCUGUUCUUAAGUCAUAAGCAAGUUUGAUCGCAAGGACUGACUGUCAUUAAGCUUGAUGCUUCUAUUUUAGUGGGAGUGUUCCCCUGUAAGAUAAGUUAGCGCAUGCUGAGUUCCAAAUUAUUAAAACUAAACCAUUUCUGGUACCUGAAAUAACACCUUAAAAGCUAAGGUAUCUUUGCUUAAUGCUGUAUCUAUUCUACAAUGUAGACCCAUUGUAAUAAGCAUUAAUUAUUGAAUAGUACCAAGGGAAUAAAAAAUGACUCUUAAUUUUUAUGUUAGUAGCAAUUUUCUGGUACACUGGGCUGCUGUGUAUGUGGUUUAGGCUUAACCCUUUGUAACUAGGGGAGUUUUUAGAAAGGCUGCUGAGGGACCAAAUAACGAUCAGAAUAUUUGAGAUGAAUCUGCCAGAACUGAGAAAUUCAUGUUGGAGUUGGCCUUGGAAGGAUCAUAGAACAGCAAUGGCUGGUGUACCACUGCUCCAGUACUGAACUUGCAUCUGGCGGGGGCUGUGCUGGCGGAGGGGCUGCUGGCUGAUCUGAACCCUGGCUAUGGAGUGAGGCAGACCAGUAGUGGCUGCUGAAGCCAGCAUCCCCUGGGACUCAGCCUAUAAAAAGGAGCAGUGGCAUCCCUGGGGAGCGAUGGUCAACUCCUGCCUGUGAACUACUGGAGCUCCCCUUCUCAGCUCUACCAGGUAUGUUAUGUCUGUCCUGUGGCUGUGUGCCACAUGAAGAUUUUUGCCAUGUAUCCUAAGUUAGGAAGGCUGGUCCCUGUUGGUGGCGUGUUUCCUGUUGUGCCUUUCAAGCAUCUGGCACCCCUGUGGUGCUUGGACGACAGAAAGCCAGCAGACUUGCCAUCAUGGAUACUUGGUUUCAGAGUGAGGAACUGUUGCAGAAGAGAAGGGUUGGGGAUGGGGAAGAAGCCUGGUACAACUUACAGAUGCACUAUGACUAUUAGGGUGGUUUACCUCUUGUCACUAAAACUGAAAGUGAUGAAAGUUUGAUUAAAAAAAACCUCACCACCCUCUACUGCUGUUUUGCUUUCUUUUACUAAUACUACUUUAGUUCUUUGAACUUAAUUGACUGCAUAGCCAGUGAAAAAGGUUUUCCCAUGCUAGUCCCCAAAUAAAAGGCUUUUUUGAGGCGAUCUCUUGCACUUUGGAGUCAAGUUUUGCUGCUGAUCUUGGUGCUGGUGGUUCGUUGUUUGAUCUGUACUGAACAUGGAACCUGAAGAUGGCCUAUCCCUGCAAGGAGUGAUGGUACCAAUCCGUAAAUGGUUCUUGAAAAUAUGGAGCCCUCUUUUACUUUACAGCAGACGGUGCCUCUCUUCCCCUCAGGAGUGGCAUAGUUGUGAAGAUGUAGUCAUCUAAUAUGGAUAAGAUAAAUCGCUAUAAUUUCAUAUAGAUUAAAACAAAGCUUUGCAUGUCUGAACUACAGAUGCAUGAGCAUAGCUACAGUGUUGGCUCAAAUGCAAACAAAUCAUCACUACAGAAGAGACCCUUGUCUCAAAAGCUUCCUAAAUUGAUUAAUUUUAAAGGCGGACUUACUUUCUUUGUAUGCCUGAAUAUAUAGGCUUGGCACACAGAAUCGGUUUAAUUAUGAGCUGCUCAUUGUAGAGAUUGGAACUGAUAGAGGCUUUAAAAAAAAAAAAAACAGGGCAGGAGGCACACCUCUUAAACAUUAGUGUUGGGUAAUAAAGUUUGAUCUGGUACUGAAAGUGGAAAUGGAAAGACUUCUCCACAUCGUUUCAGAGGCAAUUAACAGUGAAAACUAACACCGAAACGUGUUUAAGAGUAGUUCAAUGCUUUUCAGUGACUUAUAACUAACGCUAAGCUAUCUCUGAGAGAAAUUACAAGUCUGGCAUAAAUAGGCUUCAGGAGAGCAGCAAUUGCACGACUGGAGUAGAAGCAGUUACGAACUACACCUCACCUUCAGAGCCUUGGGCAUUGAAUGUUCAGUGCCACAAGAGGGUGCUUCAGUGGCACCUAACAGGAUUGACUCUUCGACAAGUUUCUGAGGCUCUGAAAUAGCAGGCAUGCAUCCCAGCAGUGUGGCUUUGCAAAGGCUGCUCUUGAGGAACGUCACUUGACUGGUAAGUAACUUCCCAUUGUAGAGUGCUUUAUAACUGACAUCUACGGCACCAGCUCACCCGUGUAUUUUGUUCAACUUUUAGUUAGCUGAUGCAUCAAAGGUUUCAAUUAAAAAGGGGGGGGGGGGGGGGGGGGGGGGUUAAACUUCUGUAACAGCCACUUCAUUGGGGUGGAGAUAUUAGUUAAAUUGUGCUCUGCAAAGAUUAUUUCUGUCACUAAUCGUGCAGAAAGGGGUCAUGAGACAAGUUCCUGUAAGACUUGGGCUAAGUAGCAAAGGGAAGCUGUUGGGAAAACAGUUCUAAAUUUGGCUGAGGAGUCCUGCCCACCCUAUGUUUCAGCAGUUUUACAAAGGUAAACUUGCUGUUCCUAAAAUCAGAUAUUGAUUAAUUGGGGCAGUGUGUUUAAUCUCUGAGCCAAGAGAUCAUCCCUUCAGGGAUACGUGUCAAAAUGAGCUGCCCUCACCUUCUGUAAUGUUCAGACGGGACAGCUGCAGCACGCUGGAACGACUGCACAGAGAAACUGCUGUUGCAGCUACUACCUGCCUCUGAGUGAGAAGGAGCAGCAGGACCAUACGAAACUUCACAGUGCCAAUUCACAGGCCAAUUUCUGAGUGACACUCAAAGUACUGUUCUUGUGUGUGUGUAUUCAUAAGCAGUUUAUUGCUUUUAGGUGCUCUGCUCACACCUGUAUCCCAAUCAGACGUUUAAGCUAUCAUUAAGGCCAGUGCUGUUUCAUAUCUUUAGAGAUGAGCUUGUCUCAAAAUACAUAAUUGCUCAGUUCUGGCUAGCCUUUACACAGGCUUCCCGAGAAUACCUUUUAGUAGGUAUUUUUACUAUUUGGACAGCUACAAGGCUACACUGGUAUGGUGAAUUUUGCUCCCUCUAAUCUGACUUUUUUCAAAAGGACAUAAAAUCCUUUUAGGUGUAGUAAGUGAUCCACUUCAAAACGUGAAUCACAAAUAGCUGCGUGCUGCUUUUUAGGUUUUAUUAUUUGUAUUGUAGAAUUUUACAAAAAUUCUCCAAUUUCUGAGUGUUAACUCCACCAGCUCUCUUACUGUUGCUGCCCCCAAGAACUUGCGGGUGGUGCACACAUUUGCUUUCUAAAUCUUUUUCUAAAAUUCUCUAUUUUGGUGAGAGAAAGGGGAGAAUGAAAAAUAUCUGUAGAACCCGCGUGUGCUUCAGCAGCCUCUGUGCUGUGGGGCUGUAAAGGCUCGCUGAUCUGCAAGACUCUUCUGAAGUGCUGGCUUGGUGAAGUCCUGCUCCCCUGCAUCAGCGCUUUGUGAAACCGGAAAGUUCUGUGCAAGCUGAACGAGAUGCACCCAUCGUCCCGUCCUCUCUACGCUUCCUUGAGGGAAUGUUAUCAUGGGAAGAAAAAACAGAUUAGUGUAGGCAGGGGAGGAGAGAGAACACAGUGAAAUGUUAAGACAAUAUUAGGUACUAGCGUCAAUAGUUUCGGUGUCUGAGUGGCGUUAUGCCGUGUUUUUUUUAAUUCUGUAGGAAACUUCCUCAGAAGUACUCUGGAACAAGCAAUCAACUUGCAUGAGUGCAAGAUACAUUUUGCAAAAUUUCUUAAUGAUGUUCUGAACUACUAUUUGUGAUGCUUCUUUGUUGCAGAGAUUCUUUUUUUAAAUGUGAGCUGUACAGUUUCUUAGCAAGACACUCUUCAAGUAUAGAUACCUAUGGUUUAUCUAAAGUACAGUUUAUAGCUUGAGCAAGAAAUUGAAUUUCUUUAAAGAACUGUAAUCUAGAUAAUUGUAAAAUUAAGCAAAAUGGAAUGAAUAGCACACUUCAGGUGUUUAAAAGUUGGAAUAACUAGGUAGUGUCUCCAGCAAAAUAACCCAUCAUAAAUGAGAAUUUAAAUAGAAGCUGUGGAUGGGGUGGCAGGUAUUUUGAAGUGGCUUUCCAAAGCUACUUUUCUGGAGAUUCAGGUGGAAAGGAAAAAGGGGGCAAAGAACCAGGAUAUGCUUUAAUGUUACGUAGAAAUAUUCUGAAGAGAUCAAAGGAAGAACAAAGUUUCUCUUGGGUAACUUACGUUCUGGUGAUGCAAAACGCAACCUCCCGGUGUAGGUGAGGGAUUACCAUGCAAGUGUUCCCUGCAAAUCCUUCACACACAAUUGAACAGUGCUACACUGUGGAAAUCAUUCUUGAAUUUGACCUCAGCAACCAACUUACAAUGUUAAAACAUCAAUGCUGAGGUUUAGGAAGGUGAUACUUAACCAUCAGGCUUUCAGCCGGUUCAUCUGUAACACAGCAGAUAAUGUGGCAGUUUGGUACCACUUAGGUUUCAUUCUUAGCUACGUGUUGUAAUAUUUGGCUUAGCUUUAACAGGAGUUUUCUUAGGGGAGGGCUUCUGUAUCUGAUGACAUCUAGUGGGAGAGAUUAUAGUUGUGUCUAGUGAGCAUACCAUAGCAAUGCUAUUUCUUAAACCCUACAAAGAAUGCACUUCUUUUCCUGCCUGAGUAUUCACUGGGUCUCGCUCUGGAAAUGAGCUGACUCAUGAGCUCCAUCUGUACCUCACGGUCUUUUAGCCCAAGCCUCCCUUCAGUCAGUAAGAAUCUUGUUGCUGUCCUUGUAAGCAGGCCACAAGACAAAAUGGGGAAAAUUGGAAUUCACUAGGGGGUUUGUUUUGUUUUAGUACUGUUGCUAACAUCAAGCCCAGGGAUUCGGAAGUGCUGGGUAGAAGAGUCACCGGAUUCUUCCUUCUGGCACUGAUCUGUCUGUGGUGAAACUCCUGUUAGGCUGAAUGGGCUGAUGUUCUGGAGUCGUCUUUAUCCUUUUAUGGUAAAAUCGGUUUAAGAGCAUUUAAUAUAGGUACUGUACACUGGUGCU